AUUGAACGCUGGCGGCAUGCUUUACACAUGCAAGUCGAACGGUAACAGGGAGCUUGCUCCGCUGACGAGUGGCGAACGGGUGAGUAAUGCGUCGGAACGUGCCGAGUAGUGGGGGAUAACGCAGCGAAAGUUGUGCUAAUACCGCAUACGUACUGAGGUAGAAAGUGGGGGACCUACGGGCCUCACGCUAUUCGAGCGGCCGACGUCUGAUUAGCUAGUAGGUGAGGUAAAGGCUCACCUAGGCGACGAUCAGUAGCGGGUCUGAGAGGAUGAUCGGCCACACUGGGACUGAGACACGGCCCAGACUCCUACGGGGGCAGCAGUGGGGAAUUUUGGACAAUGGGCGAAAGCCUGAUCCAGCCAUGCCGCGUGUCUGAAGAAGGCCUUCGGGUUGUAAAGGACUUUUGUCGGGGAGGAAAUCCCCAGCGUUAAUACCGCUGGGGGAUGACAGUACCUGAAGAAUAAGCACCGGCUAACUACGUGCCAGCCGCCGCAGUAA
RNAcentral lists this ribosomal RNA (499 nucleotides) under uncultured bacterium. Its description in RNAcentral is "partial 16S ribosomal RNA". It matches the Rfam family "Bacterial small subunit ribosomal RNA", at positions 30 to 523 of the family's 1533-position model. The record is from RNAcentral.